Molecule: small RNA, 66 nt
Filed under: Klebsiella aerogenes
Lineage: Bacteria; Pseudomonadati; Pseudomonadota; Gammaproteobacteria; Enterobacterales; Enterobacteriaceae
Also listed under: 1 other name
Description: partial RtT sRNA
Rfam family: RtT RNA
About the family: This family represents a bacterial cis-regulatory element known as RtT RNA. The exact function of RtT is unknown although it is thought that it may be involved in changing the cellular response in relation to amino acid starvation.
Source: RNAcentral
UGUUUGCACUUAGCGGGAAGGGUAAGAACCUUCGACUAAGGUUCGACUCGAGCGCCAGCGAGAGAA